GAGUUUGAUCCUGGCUCAGUUUGAACGCUGGCGGCAUGGCUAAAACAUGCAAGUCGAACGAGAAAGAGGAGCAAUCCUCGAGUAAAGUGGCGAAAGGGUGAGUAAUACGUUCCUACGUGCCUUGAGGUCAGGGAUAGCCAAGGGAAACUUUGGGUAAUACCUGAUGUGGUCGAGAGAUCAAAGGCUUGCCGCCUUAAGAGCGGGGAACGUCCUAUCAGCUAGUUGGUGAGGUAACGGCUCACCAAGGCAAUGACGGGUAGCGGGUGUGAGAGCAUGGCCCGCCACAUCGAAACUGAGACACUGUUCGGACUCCUACGGGAGGCUGCAGUAACGAAUCUUCCGCAAUGCGCGAAAGCAUGACGGAGCAAUGCCGCGUGCAGGAUGAAGCCCUUCGGGGUGUAAACUGCUGUCAGGGGUUAGCAACACAAUGAGCAGCCCCAAAGGAAGAGACGACUAACUCUGUGCCAGCAGUCGCGGUAAUACAGAGGUCUCGAGCGUUAGACGGAUUCAUUGGGCUUAAAGCGUACGUAGGCGGGCGUGCAGGCGUCGUGUGAAAGCCCUCGGCUCAACCGAGGAAUUGCACGGCGAACCGCACGUCUUGAGACAUGUA
Molecule: ribosomal RNA, 610 nt
Filed under: uncultured bacterium
Lineage: Bacteria
Description: bacterial SSU rRNA
Rfam family: Bacterial small subunit ribosomal RNA
Source: RNAcentral